This 805-nucleotide ribosomal RNA is filed under the name uncultured Gammaproteobacteria bacterium. Its description in RNAcentral is "bacterial SSU rRNA". It matches the Rfam family "Bacterial small subunit ribosomal RNA", at positions 58 to 856 of the family's 1533-position model. The record is from RNAcentral. Lineage: Bacteria; Pseudomonadati; Pseudomonadota; Gammaproteobacteria.
CAAGUCGAGCGGUAACAGGUGUAGCAAUACAUGCUGACGAGCGGCGGACGGGUGAGUAACGCUUGGGAAUCUGCCUGAUAGUGGGGGACAACCCGGGGAAACUCGGGCUAAUACCGCAUACGCACUACGGUGGAAAGCCGGGGACCGCAAGGCCUGGCGCUAUCAGAUGAGCCCAAGUCGGAUUAGCUAGUUGGUAGGGUAACGGCCUACCAAGGCGACGAUCCGUAACUGGUCUGAGAGGACGACCAGUCACACCGGAACUGAGACACGGUCCGGACUCCUACGGGAGGCAGCAGUGGGGAAUAUUGGACAAUGGGCGAAAGCCUGAUCCAGCGACGCCGCGUGGGUGAAGAAGGCCUGCGGGUUGUAAAGCCCUUUCGGUGGGGAAGAAAAGCCUCGAGCUAAUACCUCGGGGUCUUGACGUAACCCAUAGAAGAAGCACCGGCUAACUCUGUGCCAGCAGCCGCGGUAAUACAGAGGGUGCGAGCGUUAAUCGGAAUUACUGGGCGUAAAGCGCGCGUAGGCGGCUUUGCAAGUCGGGUGUGAAAUCCCCAGGCUUAACCUGGGAACUGCAUUCGAGACUGCAUUGCUAGAGUAUGGGAGAGGGAAGUGGAAUUUCCGGUGUAGCGGUGAAAUGCGUAGAUAUCGGAAGGAACAUCAGUGGCGAAAGCGACUUCCUGGACCAAUACUGACGCUCAUGUGCGAAAGCGUGGGGAGCAAACAGGAUUAGAUACCCUGGUAGUCCACGCCAUAAACGAUGAGAACUGGAUGUCGGGAGGGUCUGCCUCUCGGUGUCGUAGCUAAC